Molecule: small RNA, 125 nt
Filed under: Marmota monax (woodchuck)
Lineage: Eukaryota; Metazoa; Chordata; Mammalia; Rodentia; Sciuridae
Source: RNAcentral
GCCGGGCAUGGUGGUGCACGCCUGUAAUAUCAGCUACUCGGGAGGCUGAGGCAGGAGGAUUGCAAGUUCAGACCAGCCUCAGCAAAAAGCAAGGCACGAAGCAACUCAGUGAGACCCUGUUUCUA